UUCCCUUUUCUUCCCUCUCCCUCUCUCUCUCGUUUCUCUUUCCCCACGAUAUCCAAACCUCGCCUCUCUCGAGUAAACGAAAACCCUAACUCAGUCACAACUAUAACCACCUUUACUUCCAGAACGAACACAGAAGAAUCCCCGAUCUUCUUCUUCUCAUAUAUGGAUGUUUUUGGUAACAAAAUCGACUUCAUCUGAAAUCGCUCAUCUCUUGUGUAAAAAAAUCACUCUUCUCUUUGUCUAAGCUAUCGACUUCAUCUGAAAUCGGCCAAGGGUUUGCUCAAGUCACUGUGUUUUCAUUACUCUUUCUCUAGCAGAUGAAGAUUGAUGAACAAGAUAAAGGAUGCUGGAACUUCUAAAAGAGAACAUGCAGUCAUGGAGAAGAUUAAAGAAGCACACAGGAGAGUGAUAGUGGCUAACCAUCCUCACAAGGGUGGGAGCAUGUAUCUUGCUAAAAAGAUCAACGAGGCUGAGGUACUUUUGAUGGAUGAGGGUCGAUUUCAAUUCUUUCCAUGUGAAGAUCUAGUAAUGGCUUGUCUGAAGAAAUUUCUUUUAAGAUUCUGAAACAGGUGUGGGUUUCUUUUUCUGAAUUCUGUGAUUUUAGUCAGCAUUUUGUGAUUUUAGUGAGUUGCAACUUGUUGCGGCAGGGUUGGAUGUCUAUAGCACAAGUCUUCUACAUCUAUCCAGUUAUUAUCUUAUCUUGAUUACUAAAUGUACCAUGUUUCAGGAAGUUAUAUCCAGAAAUGUAUUGGUUGAUGAGUGUUCAAGGCAGGUUGUCGAGGUGGAGCAAGCAGCCAUGUGGAAGUUUCUUUGGUGGUCGGGAAUCAUCGCUGUCCAUGUUAUGGUUGGCCAAAACAUAGAUGAUCACUCGAAACUUUUCUCCAGCACUUCCUCCUCAAGCCUUUGUCUUUUAUUUCCUUCUUGGUUUGCGGGAUGAGUUCAGCUUGUUGAUGUACUUUAUGCUGAGUGUUUGCAUUUGUCUCUUUGUGAAGGAAGGACUCAUGCUGGUUGUUGCAACAAUCUGACAAGAUAUAUGUUGGAGCAUUUUGACAGUGAUUCAGUGAUUCGAAUCACAGUUUGAUUCUUCACAAGACUAAACUUUGUGCUCCUGCACUUGCUCCAUUCAAGGCUUAUUACGAAGGUGAUGGUUUUCUUGAUGUGUUUGAUUUGUCAUUGUUGUCUCAUGUCAGGGUUCGUAAUCUUAUUAGUACCUUAAAGUUUGUAUAGCGUCAGUAGUCUGUUCGGUCUGAACUAACCCAAGAACAUCACCCUAAUAGUAUUGCUCAGCAAAGAACUCUUCUCCCGCUAACCAGAAUCCAUCUCAUUUAUUUUGAUGCUUCUUAUAUAGAAUCUAAUCGUACUAUUAGAAUUGGUAUCAUUCUUCUUGAUAAUGCAGGAAACUUUUGGGGUGCCAAAACAAUCCCAAGCACAACAUGAGAUGCUUAACAUGCUGAAGCCAAGGCUCUUCUUGUAGCCACACUAUGGGUUAACGAGCUGGAACUGCAGUUUACUUCAAAGGGGACUGAAUCAUUCUGAAGAUGUAUGCUAUGCUAUCUAGUGUUCAAAUCACCAUAGUUAACUAUUGUUGUUAUAGUGGUCUCUGUCAAGUUUUCUAGAUUUCUUGUGUAGUUAGUGUCAGUAUUAUUCGAAAAAAAUAUUGUCUUUAGGUUUCUGUUAGUAUUAUUUUGUAACAUUGGAUAAGGUCUUAUUUGGAAUAAAAUUUCUGUUAAUUCUGGGUGAAUAAAUUUGCCUUUUUAUUAAAAAUA
This is an RNA transcript of Papaver somniferum (opium poppy), 1766 nucleotides long. RefSeq lists it as uncharacterized. The transcript is spliced from 5 exons. Lineage: Eukaryota; Viridiplantae; Streptophyta; Magnoliopsida; Ranunculales; Papaveraceae. The record is from RefSeq and is a predicted model, not a curated record.